Trachemys scripta elegans is the source of this 1566-nucleotide long non-coding RNA. RefSeq lists it as uncharacterized. The record is from RefSeq and is a predicted model, not a curated record. NCBI's taxonomy places the organism in Eukaryota, Metazoa, Chordata, Testudines, Emydidae. The transcript has 4 exons.
AUAAGAUGCGACUCCCCUGUAAACGUGAAGUUGGACUGAAGACCUGGCAUGAAGCUACUGGACUAGUGUUGUACUGGAAUUGGAUUCCCUGGAAGAGGAAAUGGGAUUUGACUUUAAUAGCAGCAAUAGCAGCUCCAGCCCAUCUCAACUAACUUCUUCUCUUUCCACCCAAAAUGACAGUUACUUCAAUCUUUGAUACCACCUAAGAGAUUGUCAAACCACCUCUCCAGAUUAACUCCUUCCAAACAGAGUCUUCUCCAGCAGGAAGAGCAAGCGGUUACUUUAUAAGUCCAUACUCUGCUCUCAGGAGAAAAGCAAAGGCAACAUGACCUGCUAUGUGUUUGCCUCCACAUAAACCUACACACUUAGUUCUGUGUUGUACAAGAUAGACUGAUAUAUUCUAUAGGAUCAAGGGGGAUUUUUAAAUGUUAUUUUUAAGGUGGCCAGACUACCUGGGGACGGCUUCCUGUAUGGGCAAGAAGCAGUAACUGGGAGCCCCAAAGUGUUCAGCAGUGGAUGAGAAGAUCUGACACUUGGGGCCCAAUUUUCACAGAAGCGGAGGACCUCUGGUUGUAAUCAAAGGGCGCUUUGGAUGUUCCGCGAUUCUGAAAUUCAAGCCCCUGAUGCCUCUAGGCCCUAGAGUGAAGCUACCUGGAAGAGAAAAGAACUAGUGGCUGCUCUUACGGUCUCCUCUUAUUGGCAAUCCCUAGUGCUGCCCUCUCGUUCUCCUGCUCCCCUAUCAUUCAAGUAAAUUGCCUCUGGUCUUGGUCUCAUGCUGCUCCUCAGUUCUCUGCUCAGCAUCUGUAUCCCACUGCCUGGUACACAACUGAACACCUUUCCUCUCUAACCAAGAUCAGAUCCCAACCACCCCUACUCUGCACCACCUACCCACAACCUGCUCUCCAGCACCUGACUCCUCCUGGCAAAGUAACCCAGUAUCAGACCUAACAUCAUCUGCACUAUCGCUCAACCUCCUGACCAAACAGGAUCUUCAAGGUAGUUCAUGUAUGGGUCUGUAACCAGAACACGGAGCUAUCUAGUGGGAAAAGACAAGAAGUUAGAUCAAAAUAAAGUUAACUUGUGUGAGGGAGAGGAUUUGUUUGUUUUGUUCUUUUAAAUAAAAGACCAAAAGCAACACUUCACUUUCCAGCUAUCUUUCAAUUUUUGUAACAAUUCUAAUUCCCUUUAAAGUUCAUUGUUCUCGAGCUUGAAGAAACUCUCCUGGGCCUUGAUCCACAGAGUUAAGCCUGCAUGUAGUUUUAUAUUGUGAGUAGCCCCAUUUCCUUGUGUGCUUUGGUGAGGAAGAUGAUACUCAAAAAUACUAAAAACACUUCAGUCCUCAAAAUAAUGUAUAUUUACAUUUUCUGUUGGACUUGCAAAUAUAGGAGCUUGUCAACAUCUCAAACCAGCUUUCUCUCCUGUUUUCAAGUGCUUCAAGGACCAAACCUAAGAUUUGUGCCUUCAUAUGUGGCUGCUAUGUCUGGGGCAUAGAGGCUUAAGGCAAGGAAAGGGUCUCCUCUGACUGAGUUCACGCCAAGAUUUUACUUAUACCCUUUAUAAAAUACA